UAGAGUCUCGUAGAGGGGGGUAGAAUUCCAGGUGUAGCGGUGAAAUGCGUAGAGAUCUGGAGGAAUACCGGUGGCGAAG
RNAcentral lists this ribosomal RNA (79 nucleotides) under Enterobacter hormaechei subsp. xiangfangensis. RNAcentral's name for it is "partial 16S ribosomal RNA". It matches the Rfam family "Bacterial small subunit ribosomal RNA", at positions 642 to 720 of the family's 1533-position model. Lineage: Bacteria; Pseudomonadati; Pseudomonadota; Gammaproteobacteria; Enterobacterales; Enterobacteriaceae. The record is from RNAcentral.